Molecule: long non-coding RNA, 1123 nt
Filed under: Homo sapiens (human)
Lineage: Eukaryota; Metazoa; Chordata; Mammalia; Primates; Hominidae
Description: HSALNT0385321
Source: RNAcentral
GGGAACAAAGCAGCGCCCUGCGGAAGGCAGCCCUCGUGAACUCAGAAGUUAGUUUUCGUCUCUGGACCUUUUUAUAAUCGGACUUCAGCCCAUCACUGUCUCGUUUUGUCCUCAGAAACGGCGACAGCAGCCUCUUCCCAAUGUUGAGAGCAAAAAGUGUGAACCCAGAAAUUCCGAGACAGAUCUCAAUUACUUGCCAAGGUUGAGGACGCGCGCGUGACAGCCUCAGGAAGUCCUCACGACAUGUGCCCAAGGUGGUCUGGGCAUAGCUUAGUUUUAUACAUUUUAUGGAGACAUGAGACAUCAAUAAAUGUAUGUAAGAAGUACAUUGGUUCUGUUUGGAAAGGCGGGGCAACUUGAAGCAAAGGCAGGAAGACGUGAAGCAGGAAGGGGGCUUCCAAGAAACAGAAGAGACAAGUGAACAUUUAUUUUUAUGUCUUUCUUCCUAUGUGUAUUUCAAGUCUUUUUCAAAACAAGGCCCCAGGACUCUCCAGAUUCAAUUAUGUCCUUGGGCUUGGUCGACUGCUGCAGGAGUCUUAAGGAGCCUUGUGCAAAUGCUAGAGUGACUCAUUUACCAACAUUAAACCCUAGGAUAGAUGCAACAGAGAAGUACUACUUCCUCCAUGGAAUGUGCUGAUUUCAGGCGACGUGGCACCCAAUGUAGAAAACGCUGGAAUUUUUCCUUGGAACUGGACUGUGAUGAGAGGUGCUUGCCAUGAACAUAAGCUACUGUCUUUUUUUUCUUUUUUUGAGACGGACUUUCACUUUUUUUGCCCAGGCUGGAGUGUAAUGGCGCGAUCUUGGCUCACCGCAACCUCCGCCUCCCAGGUUUGAGUGAUUCUCCUACCUUAGCCUCCUGAGUAGCUGGGAUUACAGGCGUGCGCCACCAUUCCCAGCUAAUUUUUGUAUUUUUAGUAGACACAGUGUUUCUCCAUGUUGGUCAGGCUGGUCUCAAACUCCUGACCUCAGGUGAUACGCCCGCCUCAGCCUCCCAAAGUGUUGGGAUUACUGGCGUGAGGCAUCGUGCCCAGCAAGCUACUGUCUUUUCUUUGACCCUUUCCAGUUUUUGAAGAUAAAGCAGGAAAUAAUCUUCUCUGAAAGUACUUGAUAAAAAUUCCCAAAA